UUUGCCGUGGUGAGGCAAUUUCAUUCGAGGUAUUUUUUGGAUUUCUUGAGUUUUUCUGUAGUAAAAUUACUUGACAUUUUAAAAGUUCAAAGUAAAAAUAUAUUACAAAAAAUAUAUUGUGAAUACUUAAGCACCUCAAAGGAAGACAAACGUUUUUUAACGUGGGUUUCUAUAAAUUAACAAACAGACUUCAAUUAAAUUUGAUUCAUCACGCUUACGGAAAAGUGUAGUAUCUGCACGUGAUAUUUAUAAUCUGAACGUUCUUUACCAAGAACCGAAGUUUGGAGCACUCGCACAAUAAUCGUCAUUAAUAAAUUAAUGUGUAAAUAUGUAUAUAAUACUUAUACAGUGAAUCCUCUACUUGCGGACACCCCUCGUAAAGGGACACACAUUCGGGAACCAAGGUUUAGGUUGUGCUUGUAGAACAAAUUCCACCUUUAUUACCGGACACUCCAAUGACUGGAAGAUUAAUGAUUAUGAUAAUGAUAAUGAUGAAAAGAGACAGGCAUAGGUAUAAAACAUGGGAGGUAAAAACAACGGUAAAAAAGUUUAACGCUUAACUCUAAUGAACGCCGAUUGAAAUUUCUAACUUCUAUUCGGUAGAGGGCAUUCCUACAUCAACACUAUUGUCUUUGAAAAAGAUUUUGAAGGAAAAUAAGGACUUGUUGAUUUUGUAAUAAACAAGGAAUAAAUAAA
Molecule: long non-coding RNA, 696 nt
Organism: Anastrepha ludens (Mexican fruit fly)
Lineage: Eukaryota; Metazoa; Arthropoda; Insecta; Diptera; Tephritidae
Exons: 3
Source: RefSeq, a predicted model, not a curated record